Molecule: long non-coding RNA, 1890 nt
Filed under: Daphnia pulicaria
Lineage: Eukaryota; Metazoa; Arthropoda; Branchiopoda; Diplostraca; Daphniidae
Description: uncharacterized LOC124343854, transcript variant X1
Source: RNAcentral
UUAUUUCUCUCAAGCUUUCCACAGCCUCACACCAUCUUAACAGAGACGCACACAGUAGGCCUACAGCCUUGGCAAACUGGCAAACGAAUUGGCCCGCGAAUUGGCGCACGCAGCAUAAUUUUACAUGAAAGAACAAGUCUAGCUGAACCCGACCAGCCGAGAGAUUUGAGAGUCUGUUCCGGCCUGUUCCAAUUCCAUUUCUGAAUGCCUUAUAAAAUGGAAACUGCCUCUUAAUCCACUGGGAUCGGUGUACGACACUUUACGCCGAAUAUACCAUACAGAUGAUGGCUUGUCAUGAUCACGAUCCCGUCAGGACCUUAGGUUGUAGGAUAGGACCUUAUGAUUGACCAGGAUAGGACCUUAUGAUUGACCAGGAUAGGACCUUAUGUUGGUACAACGGACGCUAUGACAUCCGCUCGUACCUAAAGAGUUUGCUUCCUCUCGGUAAAUCCGGUACACAAAAUGAAGUGUCGCUUAUGAACACUAGAUGGCGAUUGAUGUUGUUGAUCUCUUCAUGGCGAACGAAUGUCAAAAGUUAUGAUUUGUCCUAGCUGUGUUCGAGUUUUCGUUGCUGUUGCAGAUAUUGAGUGUAUGUUCUGCUGCUUCAGCAGGCCAUAUUUGUGGAUUAUACCAGUUUUCACAACAAGUUUCUACAUGUCUGCAUGCAACCAACUUCCAGCAGCAGCGGCUGUUGAAAUGGAGCUAGUGCAGACUUACAGUUCCACAUUUGCCUAUGUUGGUGUCCAUGCAGUGUUGAACAGUUGGGCAAAAUAGCAGAUGUUGCAUGAUGACUGUCAGGCAUAUUUUAUCGGCUGAAUGUUGUCGUCUCUUGCUAGCUACAUGUACCGGCGUUGAGUUCAAUAGUUCACCGCCGUUUCAUUGACGUGAAACUGAGGAGAGGUUGCUGAACUUCAAACAUUGACAUUCAAAUCAAUCAUGCGCUUUUCAAGUUUUAGUCGAGGAAACGUGAAAGUGGUGCAGCCCAUACCAUCAACUAUUUUGUUCAAAAUCACUGUAUUCUGCUGAAUGUUCCAUCGGAAUUAUACAGGAUUCAUCACAAUUGUCUGCUGUUUGUAUUGGACUUGCUCGUUCACCAACCCUGGCAUGUACCAAGCUCUCAUUCCAUCUUCUAGAAUAGUUUGGAUAACUGAUCAUCACUGAUCAGUGGUUUCAUGUAGGCAAUUUCGUUGUAAUACUGACAACUAUUUAAUGAGAACAACAACAACUACUGACCGGAAGACGUCCAUCCAGGAGUCCAUCCGGUUUUGGCAAUUGGAACGACGGACUGGCAAAGACCCACCCCGAGAUGAUCGUUGCCUUGAGCACUCCGCCCAACACCAACUUUAUCCCUGCCAUUGGGCGUCUUAUUCCUCACGUCGGAGCGGCUCCGUUCCUCACGCCGUCUGCCCCCACGUCAUCUUCUCUCUGCAGCCCAUCGCUGCAGUUAACCGCAACAAGUUCCUUUCUGCUGUUCUCCGCCUGAUCCUCAAUGCCACUGAGACCACCGAGAUCCGUAUCGCCGCCGUCUCCACCAUGUUCCACGAGUUGAAAUAAACAUAGUUUUGAUUGUUUGCUGACCUAGAAACUCAUUUUGACGCGACAAAAGAUAGCUGCUGAAUAGAAGCUACAUCAAGAUUCAAGCUACACGCAAGCCCUUCCAAUUGAUCAACCACGUUUGGAUUUUAAGUUUAAUUUAUUUAGCACAUUUUUAAAUUUCGUUAAAUAAUUUUUAUUUUUUAAAUUAAGACGAUUAAGACUUAAAGAAAAUAGUAUAAAAUUUGAGAUAAAAUUGAUUGAAAUAUUUAUUAGAUCAAGAUUCCAAUUUUUCAUGUUGUUACGGCUUACUUUAUUCAUCAGACUUGGUCAAAUAUUUGUUUUUAUUUGUUUGUC